UACGUAGGGUGCGAGCGUUAAUCGGAAUUACUGGGCGUAAAGCGUGCGCAGGCGGUUAUGUAAGACAGUUGUGAAAUCCCCGGGCUCAACCUGGGAACUGCAUCUGUGACUGCAUAGCUAGAGUACGGUAGAGGGGGAUGGAAUUCCGCGUGUAGCAGUGAAAUGCGUAGAUAUGCGGAGGAACACCGAUGGCGAAGGCAAUCCCCUGGACCUGUACUGACGCUCAUGCACGAAAGGCGUGGGGAGCAAACAGG
This 254-nucleotide ribosomal RNA is filed under the name uncultured bacterium. Its description in RNAcentral is "partial 16S ribosomal RNA". It matches the Rfam family "Bacterial small subunit ribosomal RNA", at positions 524 to 776 of the family's 1533-position model. The record is from RNAcentral.